Molecule: ribosomal RNA, 1667 nt
Filed under: Spratelloides delicatulus (delicate round herring)
Lineage: Eukaryota; Metazoa; Chordata; Actinopteri; Clupeiformes; Clupeidae
Description: 16S rRNA
Rfam family: Bacterial large subunit ribosomal RNA
Source: RNAcentral
GCCAAACUGCUAGCCCGACUACUCAGGCCGAAAUUAACCAAUACUCAGCCAGCCACAACGUCAACACACCCAUUAAAUCAUUUUUCCCCCCUAGUACGGGCGACAGAAAAGGACCACCCCGGAGCUAUAGACAAAGUACCGCAAGGGAAUGCUGAAAGAGUUGUGAAAUAGUUCGAUCAAGCAGAAAACAGCAGAGAUUACAUCUCGUACCUUUUGCAUCAUGAUCUAGUUAGUACAUUUAAGCGAAGCGCCCUCUAGUUUAUCCCCCCGAAACCAGACGAGCUACCUCGGGACAAUUUUAUAGAAUGCACCCACCUCUGUGGCAAAAGAGGAGGGAAGAUCCCCAGGUAGAGGUGAAAGGCCUACCGAGUCUAGUUAUAGCUGGUUGCCUGGAAAAUGAAUAGAAGUUCAGCCCCCUAAACCCCCUAGCCAACAUAGGACCCCUUAACGCAGGCAACGGGCGAAGUAGGGGAGUUAGUCAAGAGAGGUACAGCUCUCCUGACCAAGGAAACAACCUGCCAAGGAGGUCGAGGAAUAAAGUUAUCAAAGGCAAGGGGUUUUGGUGGGCCUAAAAGCAGCCACCCCAGCAGAAAGCGUUACAGCUCAGACCCCCUCACGCCUAAUAUACCAUUAAGUUCUCCCCAGCCCCCCCCCUUACCAGGCCUUCCCAUGCAAACAUGGAAGAGAAGAUGCUAGAACGAGUAACAAGAAGAACGAACUUCUCCCCGCACAUGUGCUAGCCGGAUCGGACCUACCACCGGCAUAUAACGAACCCAACACCAGAGGGCAGCACGUCCCUCACUACGUUUAUCAAGAAAAGAGAGUGCCUCUUAUCGUUGACCCCACACAGGAGUGCCUACGGGAAAGACUUAAAGGGAGAAAAGGAACUCGGCAAACCAAAACCUCGCCUGUUUACCAAAAACAUCGCCUCCUGCCCUCACACCAUAGGAGGUCCCGCCUGCCCUGUGACCCAAAGUUUAACGGCCGCGGUAUUUUAACCGUGCAAAGGUAGCGCAAUCAAUUGUCUUUUAAAUGAAGACCUGUAUGAAUGGCAUCACGAGGGUUUAGCUGUCUCUUUUCCCCAGUCAGUGAAACUGAUCUGCCCGUGCAGAAGCGGGCAUACCCCCACAAGACGAGAAGACCCUAUGGAGCUUUAGGCGCCCGCUAACCGCAAAUAGCGGCCUCACCCCUAAUUGUCGCGGUUCUAUGCAAAGCGCCUUCGGUUGGGGCGACCACGGGAGAUAGCAAAGCUCCCGAGAGGAAAGGGCUUUUAGCCUGAAGCUCAGAGAGACAUCUCUAGGCCGCAGAACAUCUGACCUUGAAUGAUCCGGCUACUGCCGAUCAACGGACCAAGUUACCCUAGGGAUAACAGCGCAAUCCCCUCCCAGAGUCCAUAUCGACGAGGGGGUUUACGACCUCGAUGUUGGAUCAGGACAUCCUAAUGGUGCAGACGCUAUUAAGGGUUCGUUUGUUCAACGAUUAAAGUCCUACGUGAUCUGAGUUCAGACCGGAGUAAUCCAGGUCAGUUUCUAUCUGUAAAGCCACCCCUCCUAGUACGAAAGGACCGGAGUGGUGAGGCCCCUGCCCCCGGUAAGCCUCCCCCUGACCCUAUGACUUCAACUAAAUAGGACAAAAGGGGGCCAACCUGCAGCCCCAGAUAAGGGCCA